GAUGAACGCUAGCUACAGGCUUAACACAUGCAAGUCGAGGGGUAACAAGAGAAAAGCUUGCUUUUCUUGUUGACGACCGGCGCACGGGUGAGUAACGCGUAUCCAACCUGCCUAUAACUAGGGAAUAACCUUGCGAAAGUAAGACUAAUACCCUAUGAUUUCCUUUGAUGACAUCAGAUUAGGAAUAAAGAUUUAUCGGUUAUAGAUGGGGAGGCGUCUGAUUAGCUUGUUGGCGGGGUAACGGCCCACCAAGGCAACGAUCAGUAGGGGUUCGGAGAGGAAGGUCACCCACAUUGGAACUGAGACACGGUCCAAACGCCUACGGGAGGCAGCAGUGAGGAAUAUUGGUCAAUGGGCGGAAGCCUGAACCAGCCAAGUAGCGUGCAGGAUGACGGCCCUAUGGGUUGUAAACUGCUUUUAUACAGGAAUAAAGUUAGCCACGUGUGGUUAUUUGUAGGUACUGUAUGAAUAAGGACCGGCUAAUUCCGUGCCAGCCGCCGCGGUAA
This 506-nucleotide ribosomal RNA is filed under the name uncultured bacterium. RNAcentral's name for it is "partial 16S ribosomal RNA". It matches the Rfam family "Bacterial small subunit ribosomal RNA", at positions 28 to 523 of the family's 1533-position model. The record is from RNAcentral.